Molecule: antisense RNA, 81 nt
Filed under: Candidatus Hamiltonella defensa (Bemisia tabaci)
Lineage: Bacteria; Pseudomonadati; Pseudomonadota; Gammaproteobacteria; Enterobacterales; Enterobacteriaceae
Description: Hamiltonella endosymbiont of Bemisia tabaci antisense RNA of dnaA mRNA
Rfam family: antisense RNA of dnaA mRNA
Source: Rfam by way of RNAcentral
CUUUGCUUUGGUUUUAUGCGCAAUAAUGCCAUUGCCUACAGCGUGCAAUAAAUGUGUUUUUCCAAGACCUGUGUCACCAUA